CGUUUACAGUAAAUGCUGAAGUAUUUUCGGACUCCCCAAAGCUCAUGAGGAGGUUCUGCUGUGUCAAAAGAGGGAGCAAUCAGGGGUCAGGUGUCUUGCUCAGGGACACUUCAAUAGGGGGCAGCCGGGGCUCAAACCGCCAACCUUGUGGUUCCCAGCACACCCUCGACCCUACUCCUGCGCCACGUUGACCCCUCAUCCCCCCAGUUGAAAUAAUUCUCCAUUUAUUUCAUUAUAAUGAUCUAACUAUCAAAUGAUACAAUAUCUCAAAAUAAUAAGUACUUGCUGCAUAACCCUGAGUGCAUAGUUUUAUGGAUACUGACAAACAAUAUUGUUUAGAUAAUGAGGUUUCAAAAUAAUGACAUCCGUUUACACCAAUUAGCGUGGAACUGAUUGGACUACAUUAUCUGUGGAUGUGACAUUUGAUCAUCAUUCUCUAUCAGACACUGUUUCUACCGUCCCAUGUACCACUUUUUCACCUCAUGCUGCAGGCCUUGUAAUGACAAUUCUGCCAACACCAAGAUGUGUGGUCGGGCGCAGGGCUCCCAUUGGCUCAUAUAAAGCAGCUCUCCUUGUAACCUUCCUUGAGGAGUUAGAUCAGGUCUGUAGAGCUGAUGAGGUGAUGUCAUUGUGGGGGACAAUGUUAGGUUCCUCCAUGCUCAAAUGGUGCAAGUAUGUUUUCAUGCACAUGCACAAUUUACCAGCCUGUGUUUGCCCCCAUACUCUCCUUUCCUUAGCCUGACUGAGGAAUUGUUCGCUCAUGGAGGUGGAAGGUGUACGAUAGAUGCCCUCGCCAACAAGUAACCCGUUUCCAGGCCUGGAUGACGCAUGCAACAACAUCACGCCGGACCAGUGUCAGGCCUGGAUUCCAGGAUGUUUGGCUGAUGAAAACAUCCAUUGUGAUGUGGAUCAGAACCUGUGGCCAGAUCCACAAGACCGGGUUAAUGAAAAUGUAAACGUGUGGUAAUAAAACCUUUUUUUCGGUCCCAGGUGAGGAACAGAGCUAAUUACUCAGAGCUAAUCUUUGGUUUGAUUCAAAUAAACCUACGUUGGGAUUUUAUUGCAUUUCAUAACAGUCAAAUUUUGUGCAAUGAUUCCGCUAUGUGUACUCUUCUUUCUACUACAGCAGUACUUUUACAGGGAUGUAUUUACAUUCUGUCAGGAACCGGUGUAGGCAGAGACAGGACUCAAAAAAAAAAAGACUUCCAGAAAUCCAAAAAUGUCCAGGGGCAAAAGCGCAGGCAGGGACCAGGAACAAGACACCACAGGAUCCACAAACAUGCAGACACUACAUCUGACAUUCAACAAUGACACGACAAGGGACAAGAGACACACAGGGCUUAAUUACUUUGGGAAGGUGCAGGUGAUUGGACACAGGUGGAAACAAUCAGACAAUCACAGGGGAUGACGGACCAGGCAUUUUGUACAGCAGUGUUGAAUGAUUGUACAAACAAC
Gasterosteus aculeatus aculeatus (three-spined stickleback) is the source of this 1455-nucleotide long non-coding RNA. The record is from Ensembl. NCBI's taxonomy places the organism in Eukaryota, Metazoa, Chordata, Actinopteri, Perciformes, Gasterosteidae.